This 725-nucleotide long non-coding RNA is filed under the name Limulus polyphemus (Atlantic horseshoe crab). RNAcentral's name for it is "uncharacterized LOC106460387, transcript variant X2". The record is from RNAcentral. Lineage: Eukaryota; Metazoa; Arthropoda; Merostomata; Xiphosura; Limulidae.
GUAUACGUUUAGAUAUGAGCUAGAGUUGGUGGAGGGUUGAAAUUAACUAAUGUUAGGCUAAAGUGCUUUGAAUUCUAAAGCAAAAGUUUUUGUAUUGCUUUUCUUGGAUCAAGUGGAUUAUUGUGAGGAAGCAUCAUGGAAUUGGUGUUAACUCAUGACAGUAAAGGAUGAAACAUUUCUUAACUUCUACUGAAGGUUUUGGCAGAACCAGUAGGGAGUAGCUGUUUACAAGGUUGCAAACUUAGGAGGUCAUUGUCUUGUUCUGAUGAAAAACUUGGGGGAAAAAGUGGGCUGUUGCCACAAAAUGGAUAGAGAGAGAUAGGAAGCAUGGAUACUUUCUCCACAUUCUGUUAUCUGUAGGAAGCACAUCAGUGAUGAUGAUUAUGUUCAAACUAAGAUUUGUCAACCGCAUUCAGUUACAAAUGAUCAUGAUCUAAUAUGAAGAAAUUUUCGCCUUCACCAUAACAACACUUGACGGAUUAACUUUAACACUGAGAGUAUCUUCAGGAUUCAAGUGCACUGGAGAUCUCCACCAGCGAAAGAGAUCCUGAACAUCAUAGCCCUCACUGUAAUUUAGGCCAAUUCCACUCAUGGUCGUAUUGACUUCAACGGCACUACCCAUAUCUCGACGAUUGAAGAAAACAACAGCAUAUGAAUAGUAACUGUCUUUUGUUGGUGUAACAGGCCGAGUCCAGAUUUCAAUAUUCUGUUGCUAUAAUUAGAUA